Sceloporus undulatus (fence lizard) is the source of this 314-nucleotide long non-coding RNA. RefSeq lists it as uncharacterized. The transcript has 3 exons. Lineage: Eukaryota; Metazoa; Chordata; Lepidosauria; Squamata; Phrynosomatidae. The record is from RefSeq and is a predicted model, not a curated record.
GUGAGUUCCUGCAUGGCAGGCAGUUGGACUGGAUGGCCCUUGUGGCCUCUUCCAACUCUAUGAUUCUUUGACUACUAACUUCUACCUAAAAAGUAGAUGCAAAGCAGAACAGAGGGAUCAUGCUGUGGAGCUAAGAAUGAAAAAUAUGCCUCCAAAAAGACAUCUGAAGUUAUUUCUACCAAAGAGCGUCCCAAAAGACUCAUGUGCGUUGGACCUGGCUUGGUGUAAGACACUCUUCUUUAAUUUGGCACCUGACCAAUGUGUUGGACUCCAUUCAUUUUGGCUGGGAAUUAUGGGUGUUAUAAUUCAGUACU